CCCCUUUUCUCCACCCAACUUUACACCACUCUCUUAGCAUGGGUGGCUGUAAGUACACUAGGGCAAACAUAAGUUUCCUUUUCUUUGGGUAGGUUUUUAUUUUUUAUUUUUUAUUAUUAUUAUUUUUUUCAGUUGUCCCCGCCAUCUUUAACCUGACCCCCAUUAGUACUAUCCUGACUAGCUCACUGUAAACUGAAAAAAAUUAUCAAACUGUCAACCAAAAGUAAACACAUCACCUGUAGGUACAGUAGAGUAAAGCUAAGUUUCCUUUUGUUUGGGUAUUUUUUUUUUUCUUCUUCAGUUGUCUCUGCCAUCUUUGACCUGACCAUUAGUGCUGUCCUGACUAGCUCACUUAUGAGCAGAAAAAAAUUAUCAAACCGUCAACCAGAAGUAAACACAUCACUUUGGACCACUCAAAGACACAGUCUACCUGCUGUUUAACCCAGUCUUUGGUCAGAGGUGAAGAAGAGAUGACAUCCUCCACACCAUCCCCCUGCUGCUCUCAACAACCAUCAUCGCUGUGCUGGACAGAUUGCAGCACCCACCAGGACCCUUCUCUCAUGGACUACACAAACAUGUGUUUUACCUGCUCAUGCUCCAGAUGUCCUGAAGCAGCUCUCAAGGACCACCAGACACCAGGCUGAAGCAGAACUGAUGCUGUAGUACCUGUCACUCACUGGGCUCGUUCCUGCUGAACCUCCAAGAGAUAAACCCCUCUUCAAGAACGUCUGAGGUAAUGUCUUAGUGAACUUGUGUUCAUUUAUUUUUUCUUAGUUAUCUUAGCUGCUGUAUUAAUGCUUGUGACGCUAUUGUACAGCUCUGCUGAUAUCAUCGUCUUUAACAGCAGUGUUUUCUCCCAGGUCUUCUUCAAGCCAGUUAAGAGAGGAAGAACAGCUUAGACACUCAGGCAGCUGAACGCACCAAAGGUGGACAUCAUGCAGCCACCCUGAGCCUUGAGCCUCUCUGUGUGAGGAAGCUUUGCUGCUGCAGACCUGGUGAAGUUGCUCUGGACAGAAAUAUUUUUGCUCUGCUGCAGUGCUGAAG
This is a non-coding RNA of Xyrichtys novacula (pearly razorfish), 1044 nucleotides long. The record is from the annotation of a GenBank genome assembly. NCBI's taxonomy places the organism in Eukaryota, Metazoa, Chordata, Actinopteri, Labriformes, Labridae.